GUUUGAGGUUUGGUGCUUAAAAGGAAAUAGCUAGACAUAGGGUUUUUAUUAAGAAAAUUUAGAAUUAUAAUCCUAUAGAUGCCUAACAAGUUGUAUGCAUGAUAUUGUAGAGCUCAACACUUAUAAACGAACCACUAAGCUCUCGCUUUCUAGGUUCAUCUAUUGACCAGUGUCGAUCGAUGAUUCAAUAUGAAUAUCGAUCGAUACACUAUUCGAAAUGUUGACCGAUUAUUCUAUUUGAAUAUCGAUCGACGCUAUUGGUCAAGCGUUAAUGUGCGGGUUAAAUGUGCUCACUAAGGUCACUCGAUCAGCUCUCGCCUUACUCUUAGCAAAAAUCUUAGCUCAAUUAGAAUGGUUUUAGGAUGAGAUUAAAGCUAUCGCUUAUAUCUAACAAUCCUAGGGAAAGUUCAAGUUAACUAAUCUAGAAUCAGGUAUUAAUGACAAUCCUAAUGAUUAAUAUCACAACUUGACAAUCUAUAGUUGGGGCUAAUCUCUCAUAACCUAUUCAAACCCUAAAAUCUAACAAGGAAACUACUCAGAAAUGGCCAAGUAAUUCAUGACAACAAUUAGGUAUGAAAUUUGUAUUAGAAUAGUAAAUAGAUAUCAAUGGAGUUCCAAUCACAAAUAUAACUUUGUAUCUUCUCUCCAAUCUAUCAAAAUCCGAGAAAACCUUUUCUGUGAAAAUAGUAAAACAAGAAAGCACUCUUUGCCUCUAACAUGUUG
Molecule: long non-coding RNA, 723 nt
Filed under: Brassica napus (rape)
Lineage: Eukaryota; Viridiplantae; Streptophyta; Magnoliopsida; Brassicales; Brassicaceae
Description: long non-coding RNA (BNAP_LNC021277)
Source: RNAcentral